Molecule: long non-coding RNA, 3829 nt
Organism: Anolis carolinensis (green anole)
Lineage: Eukaryota; Metazoa; Chordata; Lepidosauria; Squamata; Anolidae
Source: Ensembl
AUGCGCAACAGCGGUUUGUGGUUUGUGAGAGCUGUGAGUUGGGAAAUUCCGAUAUUGAGAUUUUGGGCAAUGGUCUUUCUAGUUUCUGGUGAGGAAAAAGGUUUCCUGACAAAAGCCCAAAGCCAAGAGCUGGAAGGCUGCCUUAGAGACAGAUUGAGGAGGCAUCGGAAGCAUCUUUCUCUGUGCGCAAAGGGAGCGCAAACAAUGGGAAGGCUCUGGCUGGUGUUUCUGGCUAGUUACCUUCUCCUGGUGGCUGCCAUUUCUGGGGCGGAAACCCCAGGGCCACCGUCUGCAGAAGCAACCCCGGCUUCGAUCUCGGCUCCUGCAUUGGAGGGGACGGCAUCCCAAAACAUUGCUGACGCCAACGUACCUGUGUUGGUGCCAAGAUCAAAGGUCUACAAGCCCUGGAGGGACAGGCGGAAACCAAAGAGGCCAGUGUAUAGGAUUGGAGCCUACACCUUUCUGCGCAAGGACAAGAACACCCCCAUAUUCGUCAUCCCAAUCCGGCUGUCUUCCUGAGACCAUUGAUUCAUCGGACACCUUUCCUGCCGAUCGUCUUGCUUCUGAUCCUUUCCUUUGUAGGAACGUUUUUCUUGAUGCCAGGUGUAACGAAGUGUGAUUUUUUUUAGUUUACAGAUGUCAUGUUUAGUUGCGUUUUAAAAGUCAGUUUAAAAUAAGUUUGGUGACUUAUUUUAAGUUAGCCUGUUUCCAGAUAAGGAACAGAUAGUCUGUGAUUGAAAUUCACAGGGUGACUGCAGGUUAAAGCAGUAAAGGAGGAAGUAGUAUUUUAAAGUUUGAAACAUCUCAAUAUAGCUUUGCAACUGUUAAUCUAAGUGCCUCUAAAGAAGUUACUGUAACCUUUAAGCUUGUGCCUGAAUAAACGUGUUAUUGUUCUUUUUAACAUCUCAGUCUCUGAAAUCUAUAUUACCAUCAAAAGCAAACAAGAAAGAAGAAAAAUAAAAUUUUAAAAGUCUCCUCUCUAAGUAGCCAGUGGCUAUAUCAUCCCAUAGUGGUGGCAAGAGUUGAUAAUCCCCUUAACAUCUGAUGGCCGCCUUAUAAAAUCUUUACCUCUGGUGGCAGCAUUUAAAUAAAACAUCUUUAAUAACUGGUGGCAGCGGAUAUAAAAUAUAUAUCAACUAGCUGUGCCCGGCCACGCGUUGCUGUGGCGAAGUAUGGUGGUAUGGGAAAUAAAGUAUUGAGGAAUUGGUGGUAGUUAAGGUAAAGGGUAAAGGUUUCCCCCUGUAGAGCAAAAUCUCACUUAUCCAACAUUCGCUUAUCCAAUGGUCUGGAUUAUCCAACGCAGUCUGCCUUUUAGUAGUCAAUGUUUUUGUAGUCAGUGUUUUAAAUUCUUUGUGAUAUUUUGGUGGUAAAUUUGUAAAUACAGUAAUUACAACAUAGCAUUACUGCGCAUGGAACUACUUUUUCUGUCAAAUUUGUUGCAUAACAUGAUGUUUUGAUGCUUCAUUUGUAUAAUGAUUACCUAAUUUGAUGUUUAAUUGGCUUUUCCUUAAUCCCUUCUUAUUAUCCAACAUAUUCACUUACACAACGUUCUGCCGGCCUGUUUAUGUUGGAUAAGUGAGACUCUACUGUAUAUUUAUAAUCUUAUAUUAUCUGCUUAGAACUGGAUUAUAUGAGGCCCCUUCUACACACAUUAAGUCCAGUUGUGUCCGACUGCACACUGAAGUGGAUUAUAUGGCAGUGUGGAGUCAAGAUAAUCCAGUUCAAAGUAGAUAAUAUAAGAUUAUAAAUGGGUUAUAUAGCUGUGUGGAAGGGUCUUGAGUCUACACUGCCAUAUAAUCCAGUUCAAAUCAGAUAAUCUGUAUUUUAUAGGCAAUGUGGAAGAGGCCUAAGUGAGGCCUAACUCUGCCUGUCUCCUGGGCUGAGUGGGUUGCUAGGAGAGCAAGUGGGUGGAGCUUAGCCUUCUAACUGGCAGCAAUUGGAUAAAAACAAUUAUUCCUUUCCUUCUAAUUAGGACUUUAUUUUUCUUUUCUUUUUGUUGCAUGAACGUAGAGGCAUGGAUGAGGGGUUGUGCUGCCAAGUUUAGUGUUUCUGGGAUGUGUAGUUUUGUUGUUUUGUCCUAGGCCGAAAUUUCAUUACCCUUUUAUAUAUAUAGAUAAUAUAAAUAUAAUUAAUUAAUAGAAACUCCUCCACAUCUUUGCAAUUUGGUGGCAGAGGUGGGAUUUUUCAAAAGAUUUCCCCCCUGCCUAGAAAAACCUCAGCCUUUAUUCAACCUCUUUGCACCCGGCGAAACCCCAAGUUUGUCUCAUGGGGCGUAUCCACAUCGCAUGGGUAUUGCACUUCGAUCCCACUUUCAUUGCCUUGGAGCCCUAGGAUUUGUAGUUUGAGAGGUGCUUGGAAUUCUAGAGCUCAAUGGCAGAGAAUAUUAAGAUCUUUGCCAAACUACACAUGCCAGGGUUUGGUGUAAUGGAGCGAGAGCAGGUGAAACACUGUCAAACGAAUUGGCACCGCUUUGUUGUUGGAGUUGUAGUUUGACAUCGUCUUGAGCCUUCUCUACGAAACAGGGCUAGUUCCUCACCAAACUACAACUCCCAGGAGCCCAUAGUAUUGAACCAUAGCAGUGAAAGUGGUGCCAAACUGCACUGAUUUGACAAAAUAGAAUUGAAAUGGUAUCAAUCUGGAUAUGCAAUGGUUUGUGUGUUACUCUCCACCUUUUCUUACAGCCAACAAAACAAAACAAAAGUGUCUGUAAUUGAAUGUAUAUCUGAUUUAUUGUCUGUUCUUUCUCCUAGCAAUAAACACCAUGUUUUUCUACCCAAUUGUGUGGUCUGUGUUUGGUAAUACAGUAGAGUCUCACUUAUCCAACACUCGCUUAUCCAAGCUUCUGGAUUAUCCAAGACAUUUUUGUAGUCAAUGUUUUCAAUAUAUCAUGAUAUACUGGUGCUAAAUUCGUAAAUACAGUAAUUACAACAUAACAUUACUGCGUACUGAACUACUUUUUCUGUCAAAUUUGUUGUAUAACAUGAAGUUUUGGCGCUUAAUUUGUAAAAUCAUAACUUAAUUUGAUGUUUAAUAGGCUUUUCCUUAAUCUCUCCUUAUUAUCCAAGAUAUUCGCUUAUCCAAGCUUCUGCUGGCCCGUUUAGCUUGGAUUAGUGAAACUCUACUGUAUCUCUGAUUUAUUGUCUGUCCUUUCUCCUACCAAUAAACACCCAUGUUUUUCUACCCAAUUGUGCGGUCUGUGUUUGGUAAUACAGUAGAGUCUCACUUAUCCAACACCCGCUUAUCCAAUGUUCUGGAUUAUCCAAUGCAUUUUUGUAGUCAAUGUUUUCAAUACAUUGUGAUAUUUUGGUGCUAAAUUCGUAAAUACAGUACAGUAGAGUCUCACUUAUCUAACUUAAACGGGCCGGCAGAAUGUUGGAUAAGAGAAUAUGUUGGAUAAUAAGGAGAGAUUAAGGAGAAACCUAUUAAACAUCAAAUUAGGUUAUGAUUUUACAAAUUAAGCACCAAAACAUCACGUUAUACAACAAAUUUGACAGAAAAAAUAGUUCAAUAUGCAGUAAUGCUACGUAGUAAUUACUGUAUUUACGAAUUUAGUACCAAAAUAUCACGAUGUAUUGAAAACACUGACUACAAAAAUGCGUUGGAUAAUCCAGAACGUUGGAUAAGCGAAUGUUGGAUAAGCGAGACUCUACUGUAAUUGCUACAUAGCAUUACUAUGUAUUGAACUACUUUUUCUGUCAAACUUGUUAAACAUGAUGUUUUGAUGCUUAAUUUGUAAAAUCAUAACCUAAUUUGAUGUUUAACAGGCUUUUCCUUAAUCCCUCCUUAUGGAUCCAACCUAUUCGCUUAUCCAAUGUUCUGCCACCCCGUU